GACGAACGCUGGCGGCGUGCUUAACACAUGCAAGUCGAACGAUGAAGCCGGAGCUUGCUCUGGUGAAUUAGUGGCGAACGGGUGAGUAACACGUGAGUAACCUGCCCUUGACUGGGAUAACUGCUAGAAAUGGUAGCUAAUACCGGAUACGACCCUCGGCGGCAUCGCCAGGGGGUGGAAAGAAUUUCGGUCAAGGAUGGACUCGCGGCCUAUCAGCUAGUAGGUGAGGUAACGGCUCACCAAGGCGACGACGGGUAGCCGGCCUGAGAGGGUGACCGGCCACACUGGGACUGAGACACGGCCCAGACUCCUACGGGAGGCAGCAGUGGGGAAUAUUGCACAAUGGGCGCAAGCCUGAUGCAGCAACGCCGCGUGAGGGAUGACGGCCUUCGGGUUGUAAACCUCUUUUAGUAGGGAAGAAGCGAAAGUGACGGUACCUGCAGAAAAAGCACCGGCUAACUACGUGCCAGCCGCCGCGGUAA
Molecule: ribosomal RNA, 482 nt
Filed under: uncultured bacterium
Lineage: Bacteria
Description: partial 16S ribosomal RNA
Rfam family: Bacterial small subunit ribosomal RNA
Source: RNAcentral